Molecule: ribosomal RNA, 621 nt
Filed under: Salmonella enterica subsp. enterica serovar Agona
Lineage: Bacteria; Pseudomonadati; Pseudomonadota; Gammaproteobacteria; Enterobacterales; Enterobacteriaceae
Description: partial 23S ribosomal RNA
Rfam family: Bacterial large subunit ribosomal RNA
Source: RNAcentral
GAUGCAAACUGCGAAUACCGGAGAAUGUUAUCACGGGAGACACACGGCGGGUGCUAACGUCCGUCGUGAAGAGGGAAACAACCCAGACCGCCAGCUAAGGUCCCAAAGUCAUGGUUAAGUGGGAAACGAUGUGGGAAGGCCCAGACAGCCAGGAUGUUGGCUUAGAAGCAGCCAUCAUUUAAAGAAAGCGUAAUAGCUCACUGGUCGAGUCGGCCUGCGCGGAAGAUGUAACGGGGCUAAACCAUGCACCGAAGCUGCGGCAGCGACACUCAGGUGUUGUUGGGUAGGGGAGCGUUCUGUAAGCCUGCGAAGGUGGCCUGUGAGGGUUGCUGGAGGUAUCAGAAGUGCGAAUGCUGACAUAAGUAACGAUAAAGCGGGUGAAAAGCCCGCUCGCCGGAAGACCAAGGGUUCCUGUCCAACGUUAAUCGGGGCAGGGUGAGUCGACCCCUAAGGCGAGGCCGAAAGGCGUAGUCGAUGGGAAACGGGUUAAUAUUCCCGUACUUGGUGUUACUGCGAAGGGGGGACGGAGAAGGCUAUGUUGGCCGGGCGACGGUUGUCCCGGUUUAAGCGUGUAGGUGUGUGUUCCAGGUAAAUCCGGUUCACUUUAACACUGAGGCGUGA